Molecule: long non-coding RNA, 336 nt
Organism: Poeciliopsis prolifica (blackstripe livebearer)
Lineage: Eukaryota; Metazoa; Chordata; Actinopteri; Cyprinodontiformes; Poeciliidae
Exons: 3
Source: RefSeq, a predicted model, not a curated record
AUCCAUGGUUAGAUUAAUGUUUCCUUUUCUUUUACAGGAAACAUGUUUAUCUUUACAGCUGUGAUUCAUUGGUGCCUCAUGCUGCACAACGCAACGCCAAAUAUGGCCAAAUACCAGCAGAGCACGGGCAGAGGAGAUAACUGAAGGAGCAAGAACUCUUAAAACCCGGAGCCAAGGACUUCUGGCAGGGUUUCUGAUGCCUUUGAGUCGAUAAUGGUGCCAAGCUGACCUCUGUCAGUGGAACACAUGAACGUGGAUUUGAAGGGAUUACAAAUGGCAGAAUGAGAUGAACCGGUGAUGUCCGGGUGAAUCCGUCAGCGCUGGAGCUGCCGAACG